AACAGUUAUAGUUUAUUUGAUGGUCACUCGUUACAUGGAUAACUGUGGUAAUUCUAGAGCUAAUACAUGCAUAAAAACCCGACUUCACGGAAGGGUUGUAUUUAUUAGAUACAGAACCGAUCCUGCUUGCAGGUUUUGGAUGAUUCAUAGUAAAUGAACGGAGCGUAUGGCAUGUGCCGACGCUGUGUCAUUCAAGUUUCUGACCUAUCAGCUAUCGACGGUAGGGUAUUGGCCUACCGUGGCAUUGACGGGUAACGGAGAAUUAGGGUUCGAUUCCGGAGAGGGAGCCCGAGAAACGGCUACCACAUCUAAGGAAGGCAGCAGGCGCGCAAAUUACCCAAUCUUGACACAGGGAGGUAGUGACGAAGAAAUAACAAAGCGAGGCGAAAUUUCGCUUUUGCUAUUGGAAUGAGUAGAAUUUAAAUCCCUUUACGACUAUCGAUUGGAGGGCGAGUCUGGU
Molecule: ribosomal RNA, 460 nt
Filed under: uncultured eukaryote
Lineage: Eukaryota
Description: SSU rRNA
Rfam family: Eukaryotic small subunit ribosomal RNA
Source: RNAcentral